GUGUGUGUGUGUGUGUGUGUGUGUGUGUUCCUUUCAAGCUAAGAGAUUUUUUUACUCCCUUUGGUAAUUCCUAAAAAUAUUUAUACCCAUUUCCCUCAAUAAUUAUUCCUUUUAUGUAUACUCUGUCUUACUGAUUGUGGGGCCUGUCUUCUCUCAUUUGGACUUUGGACUUUAGAGUUGUUUAUCCUUUCACAUAUAAUUUUUUUAUCCCAAUUUCUGUAUUUUUAAUAUUCUAGCAGCUAUUCAAUGUGUUUUUCUUUUUCUAGGCUUUAUUUACAAAGAUGCUUAGGAAAAAGAUUCUAAAAUUUUAGAAAUAAGAUUGGUUGUGUUGCAGGCAUGUAGAAGAAAAACUUUUAAUAAAAGGACUUUUAUGUUUUUGAGUUGAAUUUUACAAUUUUUGUUAUCUCUGUUGUAAUGAAUGUCCUUGGUAAUACCAACACAAAAUAAUAGUAAUAAUAAUAUAAUAUUUGAGCCUUCCUUCAUGUAAUUUUAUUUUUCUUUUAAGGAAUUAUUAGUUUAAUUAUUUUUUUUCUUAUUUAGAAAUAAUCAUACUGCCAUUUUGCAGCUAUAAAACUAAAAUAGUCUUAAGUUUAUAGAUCAAGUAAAAGGGAGAAAAGCAAAUCUAUCAUCUAAUUUUAGAUUAUACACAAAUUAUUAAAUCUUUUUAAGAUAAAAAGAUAGCAUGGGACAAAGAUAUUUUGGUAUAGAUUGAAAGCUAUCUUUCCUGAAAGAAGAAUGAUGAAUCCAAGAAUGUAGCUUCACUUUAAAAAUGUGUGCCAGUGUUUAUUUAGAAUCCCUUCUCUGUUUUAUUAGACAGGAACAGUCAUUUCACCAGCAGGAAUUAUGUGUGCUCUCAAUACAAGUUUACUACCCAUACAAUUGUCGUCCUUUGUAGAUAUUUUGGAUCCAAAGAAGGAAUCCAAAUGAGAAGAAGCCUCCAUACCCUGAUAAUUCAUUUAAGUCCCAUUCAACUACGAGAGCUUCCACGGGAGGAGAAGUUGCUAGUCCUCCUGGCUGGCCCUAUGUUUAUUUCAGUGCUCUAAAGAACUCUGUAUGCUGGGCAACUGUGCUUGGUUGUGUCAGGCUGCUGGACAAGAGUUGAUGCUCACAGCUCCGCUGACCAAGGCUGCUUUACUGAAGCUCACUGGGCGCCCAUCAAUCACAAAGUGGCGGAUGCAGCCUGUGAAGGGUUUUCCGGGGGCCAAGCGUGGUGUCAGUAGUGAUUCUGAAAAGAGAAAGAAAACAAAAUUUGCAAUGGAGGUAUUCCAAGCCCAAUUAUAACUUCCUGGUAGAGGAUAAAAAUAAUAAUUGCUCAUAUCAUCAAAAUGAUUUGUAUGUUAAAAAUGGAAUAUAGUUAGGAUUGACUCUCAGGAACAUCAUCUGCUUCUGAAGUAAUAUGAACAUUAUGGUAAUUUUAUUGUUUUGCCUGGCUUUCCGUAAUCAAAUUUCUGUGUAUAUUGUAGCUAUCUUCCAAGGUGAAAAUUUACCAUUUACACAAAGCUUCAGCUGUGAAUUUUCAUAAUCUACCUAUGCUUUUUAGAGUUAAUUUCACCUGGGCUUCAAUUAUUUUCUCUGCUUUGUUGAGAAGGGGGAAAGACAUUUUAGAUUCCACACUACUUUGGGACAUAAUGUUAAUUCAUCUCAUUACUCUUCAUCUUCAAACUAUUUUUUGCCAAGCUCAUGAAAUAUAAUGAGAAAAUAAUGAAUUCAAGUAAACUAAAAUUUAAUUUUCCUGAGUUCAGGGCUUAAGAACUAUAAAUAGGGUAGUGAUAACUAGCCUAGUCUUUGUGUGAGCACAGGUGCCCUGUGGUAUGCCAGGUGGACUCUCUCUCCUUAUCUUAAUUAGACAUAGAAGAAGCCUAUGUUUAUUAAUUGUACAGACAUGGUUAAACGUGUUGGGAUGAUAGCAAUAUAAUAUAAAGCAAUUCAGAGAGCUUAGAAGUAUCACAAAAUUAAAAUCUAUUUAGUCAAAGCUUCUUAGGUACAAACAACUAUGUGAGCAGUAACAGAUAAAAGGUGAAAAACACUUAGAAAUCAGUAACUUGGGAAAGAACAUAAAAUAGGUCAGCAAAUUAAACAUCAAGCAGCUGUAAUAAAUUUUCUAAGCAAUGAAGAGUUAUAAUGUGCAGAAGUUGUGUACUGAAAAUCACAGAAAUAGCAUUUCAUACUUAGAAUGAUAAUCAUUGAGUUUUAGAUUUGGAAGGGGCCUGGGAGAUCAGUUCCCUGUAUUUGCCUCAAGAUUAGUAUGAAAAAAAAUAUUCUUCAAGUCUGCUUUUUAUAUUUCAUCAGAAUAAAAAUGAGUGAAUAGGGAAGAUUAUAAGGAGUAGAAACAUCUAAUGCUUUGGCCCACAUUGUAGACUAUAUUUAGAACAUGGGUUUUGAUUCUGCCCAAGUUUUCCACCCUUUGGUUCAUGGAAGAAAUCAUGUGGAGAAAAUAAUUGAUACAGCAAUUAUGGUUUGCAUUAACAUAUCACACAAUUAAUUGUAAGUAGUGACAUAAAGGUUCCUCAGGACCCUAAGUAAUUGAUUGAUAAAGUCAAUGCAUGUUUUUAAGAGGGAACAUUUUCAAUUUCCUAUGACUAUAUUAUAAAGAAGAAUUCAUAAAAGAAAAGUGAAUGGUUAGAUCCAUGUGUGGGCUCCAUUAAAGUUUUUUCUAAUUUUCACCUUUAAUUUUUAAAUUAUCAUACAAUGAAGUUGACUCUUUUUGUAUAGAAGUUUUAUGAAUUUUAUUCAUUAUUUUUUUGGUGGUAGAAAUAAUGCGUCAGCAGAGUUCUGAGUGGUAUGACUGACUGGGAUUCCAAGAGAAUUCAGGGUACAUAGGGGUUUUAUUAAUGCCCUGGUUUCUGAUGUGAUUUCGAUAGAAUUAAUAUGGAAUAGCUCAAAAUGAUAUAAUUAAUUACAUUCAACUUAAAUUAUAAUUGCUUUUGUUCUAUGCUUGCUGGCAUGUUUCCUAGAUAGAAUUAAAAGCUGCAAUGUGGCAGUGGGUUGGUGGUUAGAACACCCUACCCUGCUAGUUCCUGUGUGUUGGCUCAUUAGCUAAAAUUUGCUAUUAUGUUUUGGACAGGCUGAAUUUGAUGUUAGGUACAUCUUGUCCACCUAGUCUGUAGAACUUAUUGGAAGCAGUGUGUGAUGGAUGCUAGGAUCAGAUUGUAAAAACAAACCAACAAAAAUCAAAGAGAAAUAUUUGUUUGAAUGAUGGGUAAGCACUUGGGGUACAGAGGGAAGAACAAACACUGUAACUUCCAGGAUGAAAGCCUAUGCUUGUUUUAUCCACAUCCUGGGGGCCUAGCACAGUGCUUAUUAGACCCUCCAUAAGGCUCUAUGUUGAGUGAAAUCAUGGUCCUUGGCAGCAAGGGGUGUACUGCUUAGCUUUGACAGCAUUUUCUGAUAAUGCUACAACACUGGUAUGCAUACACAUCCUCAGGAGAUGGGCAUGUGUAAAUAAAAGCCCAAGCUGAAUCCUAAAGGGGUCAGUAAGGAAUUAGGUUGGGGGGGGGGAGUGGGAGAAGCUGUUCUCUAUAAAGGUACUAGAGGAAGAAAAAAAGAAUAUUUUUCAGAAACUGUAGCCCUGUGUACUUGUGUAAAAGCCUGGAGCUAAGAGAGCACCAUUGAAAAUUUAGGAAACUUCAAGUUCCAGAAGGUAUGGGGAGAUCCCAGAGGUAGGUGGAAGGUGGGGACAGAUGAUCAGGGACCUUGCUUGUUAUUCUGAAUUUGAUCCUGUGGACCCUUAGGAACCUGUGAAGUAUUUUAAACUACAUUGUAAUUUUUAGGAAGGAAGCAAUACUCAGAAAUAUAAGGAAGGAUGUGAGACAUUUUUCACACUCUAUCUGCAUGAAGUGAAAUAGAGACCUUUGCUGAAUUCCUUUCAGAACCAAAGCCAGGAACUGGACAACAGAACUAGGGAAUGGCAAUGGGAGGUGGGUAGGGAAGUGAAAAAAAGGAAAGGUUGCUUUGUGAGGGUCUUAAGUAUUUCUUUUGAUCCCUGAUUUGCUAUCAUUGUUAAAACUGACCUUUGAAAUAUUUGCAUUACAAAGGAGAGGAGUACUUAAUUACUACUAUUUUGGGGACCCAAGUUGAGAUGCUUUAUUUGAUCUAUGCUUUUUCAUUCUCUUGGCUGUCUUGAUGUGGGUAAAUCUAAGAUAAUCUAGUUAGGAGACUAUUAAAAUCUCCACCAAAUUCCAGAUGCAGAAAUUAUAUAUAUAUAUUCUAUUCCUCACAGCUUUUCUUUUCAAGGUAGUGAAAUGUUUAAAAACAACAAUCACAUUCAACAUAAGGAUAUGGUCCCUGCUCUAGAGGUUUAAAACGAUUGUGUAGGGGGGAGUGGUAUAACUAUCCUUUUAUCACUGUCCUAUAUUAUAUGCCAUUCUUGGCAGAAGACAAGGUGAUGGGAAUGAUGAUGUUUAUAGAAUUGCAGCUGGGAACCUCUCCUAGGGAACAAGAACAACAUAACUUAUGGUCUGCAGCUGUUUUCACAAUUUAGACUAAUCUUGGAUGGGGUGGGGUGGGGUACUUCACAUUUUUUCCUUUUAUAGAAGGGGAACAAUUAAUAGCAAAAUUUUAAUCCUCAAGGUUUUCAGAUCUUAGAGCAGUAUUAGAAAAUGAGGGGUUUUUUUUGGUGUUAGGGAUAAAAUAGAAUGGUUCAAUGUGUGUUUGUGUAUAGAUAGGAUAUGUAAAAGGAGACAAAAAAUAAGCAAAUACAUCAAGAUGUGAGUAAUAUCUGUUGGCUAUAACACCAGUUUUUAUGUGCUUCUUGGAUAAGAAAUCACAAUUUUCUGUUUGCUUUUCCUAUUAGAGGACAUAAAAUCCUUUGAGUUAUUAGGUGAAUUAUGAAAACACAUGGCUUACUUCUAAAUAACAUAAUGAAAAUCGUAAGAACUUACUAUUUUUUUGAUUUGGAAACUUAUUUGUUUUAAACAAUGCUUACCUGGAACACCUCCAACAAACACAGGCUCCCUGUGAUCAAUUGGUUUUGGAUUCAGGGGUCCAACCACAUGGUUCACUUCAGAGUCAACAUCCAGCUGAACCACAUUUGAAUCUCUAAUAACUGAAAUACAGUGAAAUAUUGGGCAAAGACUGGUCAUAAAUGGAACUAGAGUGAUUAAUUUUCACAUGAAGAGAAUAAUUUAUCACAACAAUGACUUUUAUUUAUUCCAGAAUAAAACCCUACACUUUCUCCUAUAUCAGUAAGAUGUCAAUAUAUUAAGUUUAACAAUGUCUAACUGAGCAAUCACUAACAUUUUCCUUCAAAAGGGAAAAUAUUUAGGAUACUCUUGUGCUACUUUUUUGCUUCAUAAGUUACUCAUUAUGUAAACAACUCCACUAUUUUGGCAGCAUUUAUAUUUCAAAUCACAUGUGUAUUCAAUAUACACAUUUUAAUAUAAUAAUAACACUUCUCUUGGUCACGUUUAGAUUAUCAUCCGUCGUCGUCAUGCAUAUCACAUAAAUUCUGCCAGGCCAUCAUUUCUCAGGUGGGUGUGCAGGCUCAUCUUUGUAAAGGAAACCCAGGACACCUAUAUUUUCUCACCUGUUAUUCUGUGCCAUCUGCCAUCACAGAGACUCUGCUUAGGUGUCACUGAGGUAGAAAAGUCUCUGAUGCCAUUGUUGACUUUCACUAUGACCUACAAAAGAGAGUUAACUUAUAUAAUUUAGUUUAAUUUCUCCUUGUCAUUGUAAAACUGAAUUUCUUGAAGCAAUACUUUAACAAAAAUCCACCCAAGGAAACAAUACUCUUAACAAAUAUCCACAUAUGAGUAACUUUGCAAUUUGAACACAAGGGGUCACUCUUUGGUAGGCAAUAGAAAUAGUUUAAACUGGGAGUGCUCCAUGGAGAGACAGCAAACUAAUCACAAGGGAGAAAAGAUGGGAAGAGAGGAAUGAUAGGAAAUGCAAUUGAAUAAAUUCCUUUAAUUUCUCAAGAUAGAAUGUGUUAUACAAAGAAGUUCAAAAUAUUGUUGAAGAUCAUGGGCCUUGAAGCCAGACUGCCUGACUCCCAUCUAACUUACUGUCUGCAUCCGUUUCCUCUUUGUAAAAUAAGAAUGAUAAUAUUACCUACAGCCUAGAGAUAUUGGGAGGACUAAAUGGGUAAAUCCAUAUAAAGCAUCUUGAAUAAUCCCUUACAUGUAGUAAAUACCAUAUCUGGAGAAAUUCUAUUUUUAUACGGUUUAAUAAAAUAUACUAGAAUCCAAAUAAAAAUCAGUUACAUUAAGUUUGAGAGGCAUAAUAUAAAUAUAUCUUUUCCUUAAUAUUUAUUUGAAUACCUUCAUAAGUAGUAUUUUAGUAGUGUUUUAAGUGGUAUUUAAGGGUGAAAGUGGAGUUUAAUUGUAACAAUUAAAAAUUUAUAGUAACAGAAUAAUACAUAUGUCUAGAUAUAUAUGCAUGUAUCUUUGAUGUAUAUUAUCUGAUAAACAUUUAUAGAUAUUCAGGAAGAUAGAUGUUUUUGUGUUGUUGAUUUUGAUAAUUGGGUUUUUUUUUUUGCUUUAAUUUGCUGAAAAAAAAAAUGACAAUUCAUUGGUUAAAACUCUGUGCUGUGAUUGGUGAUCUUCUUUUCCUGAAACCUUUGCCGUAAUUUCCUGACAUUGUUCUAAUCAGAUGAAUCCCAACAUAUCAAUGUGAAUUCUAAUGUUUCCUACAUUUAAAUUUCAUGUUACAGCUUUCUGGUUUUUAUUGAUUGAUAAGAUAAAAUAAUUAUGUGAAAUAAAUCUGUUUUUGAUUAGAAUGAAAGGUUAAAUGAGACAGACUGUUAAAUUUUUCAAAAAGAUGUUACCUGCCCAUUUUUCAUGUGGACAUUUAGGUACUCCCCAUUGACACUGUGGCCAUGGACAAGCGUUCCAGAGUUGCUUCUGGGACGAACUUCAAAUGCAAUUUCAAACUUCAAUCCAAUGUUGAAAGACUCAUCUGUGGAGAGAAAUACUAUAAGCCUCAAGAACAGCAAAAUAAAAUUUGUAACUAUGGCAUGAUUUUAUAAUUAUAUAUUUUUGCAUCUAGUUUCAAAAAUUCAUUGCAUUUCUCAACAGGUAAGAAGAAAAGGCUAUUUUCCAACACCACAUAAAACUCAGGGGAGUAAUAUAAAUAACACAUCAUUCUUGUGGGGCAUGGAGGUGGGGCCAGCACACUAAAAAUACUCUAUGUGCUAUGGAAGUUCAGGGGAAGAGAAAUGAAUUCCAACUAGCAGCACCAUUUACUAUUUCAGGAGUGAGAAGGAGGACAGGACAAUCUGGGCAGAGGAGGGAGCUUGGACCCAGCUACAGAGGAUGGAACAUGUGGACAGCAUAGUGAAGCCCAGGCUGGCUGGAUAGUCCCUGUAAGGGCAGAAGCAGGCAUGGGUCUCACUGAGUAGCUUAGCACCUCAACAUUGCUGAAGCUGGCUUUGAACUUGCCAUUCUCCUGCCUCAGCCUCCUGAGCUGCUGGGAUUACAGGCAGCUCCAGAAGGAGGAAGACUUUCUUCUAGGACUCGGAGACCAUCAAUGAUUAGUCGACCACUGCUCUUUUCCCGAAUAAAUAUCACCUGGAUAGAGAGAAAGAAAAUAGCAUAUCUUAGGUAAAUCCUAAGAUGGAGGAAAAGGCUGUUCUAUAUCUGCUCCCAACUCUGAAGUUGAAACACCAUGGGAAAUAUGCAGAAAGUUCAUAAAAAGAUGGUCAUUUCUCUGAAGUUUCUUGUGGCCAACAUUAAACAUGAAAACCAAGCGACCAUGGGCCAAGAAUAGAGUCAUGAAGUCAUUCUCUUCUUGAUUGGAGACAUAGAAAAUCAUACCGUGGGAAGAACGAGUUUUCAGACUUAUGGAAAACUGAGAUCUGGCCUGGAGCUCCUGGAGAACAAAAUAACAUCUGGUGUGGGGGACAGCAAAAGAGGACUUGGCUGGGAUGGAGUACACAAUCUCCUAGAUCUAGCCUAGUGUGGCUGUGCUUCCUCCAUGGGGGCCUGUGACUGAUCAUAUGCAGUUUUUUUCCUCCCUUGGAAUGCAUAAUGCACACAUAGAAAAGAGCACAAGUCACAAGGAUGCAACUUGAUGAGAGAAACCUAAACUACAGAAGAUGGUACUACUUUUUUCAAAUUUUCAGCCACUGAACAGUGAUUCUUAAAGUAUGGUCAAAUAUCAUCAGCCAGUAUCAUCAGCUUCAAAAGGAACUUACUGGAAAUGCAAAUUCUUUGACCCAUCCCAAACCUGCUGAAUGAGGAAUUCUGGGAGUAGGGUCCAGCAACCUGGGUUUAACAAGCCUCCAGGGGAUUCUGAUGCACACUAGUAUUUGAGAACCACUGGACCAGAGAAUGAAUAUUUUCUUGUGUAGUCUCCUGCCUAAGGGCAGGACCGUGGUCACUGAGCAUUAGCGGUAGGGCAAGAGCAAGCUUCUGACUAGAGCCAAACUAAAUUCAGAUUGAGGAGAUAUGUCAAUGCAGGUUAAGGAAACAUCACUUCUUUGUACUUUGGACACAAGGUGUUUCUCCAGGAUAAGGAAUAAAAUAAUAGCAAUUCUCAGUUUAUUGUGUUGAUUAAUAUUUGUUGUUUGGAUCACUGACCAUAACAGUCAUUUUAUAGCAUAAAAAUCUUUAAAAAUUAAAAAUAAUAAAGUAUAUGAAAGUGUUA
Non-coding RNA from Ictidomys tridecemlineatus (thirteen-lined ground squirrel), 8583 nucleotides. NCBI's taxonomy places the organism in Eukaryota, Metazoa, Chordata, Mammalia, Rodentia, Sciuridae. The record is from RefSeq and is a predicted model, not a curated record.